Molecule: long non-coding RNA, 432 nt
Organism: Nerophis ophidion (straightnose pipefish)
Lineage: Eukaryota; Metazoa; Chordata; Actinopteri; Syngnathiformes; Syngnathidae
Exons: 3
Source: RefSeq, a predicted model, not a curated record
AACUGUCACCCACCCUCAUGUGUAUAAAUUGCUCGUCUUCCUUCUGUCCUGUGCCAGACUGUUUUCGUACCUUUUGUGCAAACCUCCAGCGAUCCAUGUUCACAGCCAUUGCCACGCUUUUUGUACCCUUUUUGUCAGCCUUUUUCCCUCCGCAGCUGGAGCGUUGUGAGUUCAUUGAGAUUUAGUUAGUUUUUAGUUGAGAGUCCUGUUCAAGUUGUGACAGUAUUACCUGGCCGUCGAGGGAAGACUACAGAGAACAGCGAAUGCAUUUGAACCGGCAAAGCAGACUAUAUCAGUUAUUGUCCGCCAUGUAUGUCGCGGACUCAACUUGGAGGUCCAGAGUCUAUAAAGUCACUAAAAACAAAUGGACAAUGAAGGUGAAGCCAAAAAAGUGAGGAGUGUCCUGACCAGAUGUCGAGAUCUCUAGUUUGA